UUCUGGAAACAGCAAUAUGGCUUCUGCAAGGCGACUCUCAUCCACAGACUUGGUGGGGAAGAGGUUUCAGUGGCCUGCAAGUUAUUCCAGACACAGGUAACUUCAUGGAUGUUCUUCAAAACCGUGUCCCCUUCACACUUCUGCCAUGGCCUGGUAACACUUGCUGUCGGGCCUAAUCCUUGCAGUGGAUUAUAACACUGCAGAGUGUGGGACUCAUCAGCCGGCUGAAGGAGAUUUCAGCCAUGGUUUCCCUCUCAGGUUCUGGUGGAUGUGGGGCAAAACAAUCCCCGUGUGUAGUUGGCAAAGCCACCUUGUUACCUGUGAAGGCAGGAGUGCUCCUCCUAGUUACAGAAACCAAGUGGGCUGAUCUGCCUGGCAGUUCCCAAGUACACAUGGCAAAGAGUAGAGGUUCUCUAUGGAUGGGGAUCUUGUAAACUCUAGGUUAUACAGUGAGGCUGGAGCCCCACAAACCGGCUACUGUUCUUCCCAUGAUCCUUAGCAUCUUACCCUUUCUCCUUAGCUAGAUUCUUCCCAACUAGAAGUCAUUGUUGCAAGGGAAUAGGGAGGGGUGUAACCAGACUCAGGGGGAGCCGUGCCAUGGGAGACUAUCUUACCUACUGAAAUGGUCCUCUCUCUACCUGUGCCCCUGCAGCCCCAGCCAGCCAAUGCCAACCCUGCAGGUCCUGCACCCACAGUGGGCCAAGCUGCGCCUGUAGCCCCACCAGCUGGCC
This 731-nucleotide long non-coding RNA is filed under the name Rattus norvegicus (Norway rat). RNAcentral's name for it is "long non-coding RNA NONRATT007134". The record is from RNAcentral. Lineage: Eukaryota; Metazoa; Chordata; Mammalia; Rodentia; Muridae.